UUGAACGCUGGCGGCAGGCCUAACACAUGCAAGUCGAGCGCGAAAGGUUUUAGGACUGAGUAAAGCGGCGGACGGGUGAGUAACGCGUGGGAAUCUGCCCAGUAGUGGGGGACAACAGUCGGAAACGACUGCUAAUACCGCAUACGCCCUACGGGGGAAAGGGGGGGAUCUUCGGACCUCUCGCUAUUGGAUGAGCCCGCGUCGGAUUAGCUAGUUGGUAGGGUAAAGGCCUACCAAGGCUACGAUCCGUAACUGGUCUGAGAGGAUGAUCCGUCACACUGGAACUGAGACACGGUCCAGACUCCUACGGGAGGCAGCAGUGGGGAAUAUUGGACAAUGGGGGCAACCCUGAUCCAGCCAUGCCGCGUGUGUGAAGAAGGCCUUAGGGUUGUAAAGCACUUUCAGUGGGGAGAAAGGUUUGUCACCUAAUACGUGAUGAAAUUGAUGUUACCCACAGAAGAAGCACCGGCUAACUCCGUGCCAGCCGCCGCCGUAA
This 496-nucleotide ribosomal RNA is filed under the name uncultured bacterium. RNAcentral describes it as "partial 16S ribosomal RNA". It matches the Rfam family "Bacterial small subunit ribosomal RNA", at positions 30 to 523 of the family's 1533-position model. The record is from RNAcentral.